This 443-nucleotide long non-coding RNA is filed under the name Nicotiana benthamiana. RNAcentral describes it as "long non-coding RNA (NBEN_LNC035804)". The record is from RNAcentral. Lineage: Eukaryota; Viridiplantae; Streptophyta; Magnoliopsida; Solanales; Solanaceae.
UUUUUGGUCCUGAAGAUCGCAUUGAACAACCUGGAGAGCCACUCCACUCCUGACCUACCCAUGUAUUUCCAGAACUCUACCGGGAUCUCGUCAGGCCGGGUCGCUCGACCCCUACUCAUCCUACGCAAAGCCCCCAUGACCUCCUCCGCCCUAAUGCGACUGCAGUACCCAAGGUCUCUAUGUUGCUCUCAAUGUCCCAACUCCCCUAGCUCUAUGUUACGAUCCCCCUCCUCGUUAAGUAAGUCUCGAAAGUACGCCUGCCUCCUCUGCUUGACUUGAGACUCCCCAUCAGAACUCUACCUUCCUCGCCCUUGAUGCACCUAACUUGGUCAAGAUCACGUGCCUUCCUUUCCCUUGCUUUAGCUAACCGGAAUAACUUCUUGUCCCCGCAUGUCUCCCCUAGUUCCUCGUACAUGCGACCAAAUGCUGCGUUUUUAGCUUCC